This 464-nucleotide ribosomal RNA is filed under the name Lachnospiraceae bacterium canine oral taxon 073. RNAcentral describes it as "bacterial SSU rRNA". It matches the Rfam family "Bacterial small subunit ribosomal RNA", at positions 9 to 456 of the family's 1533-position model. Lineage: Bacteria; Bacillati; Bacillota; Clostridia; Lachnospirales; Lachnospiraceae. The record is from RNAcentral.
GAGUUUGAUUCUGGCUCAGGAUGAACGCUGGCGGCAUGCCUAACACAUGCAAGUUGAACGAGAAGUUUUGGAGGGAGUCUUCGGACGAACGAAGGAAUGGAAAGUAGCGAACGGGUGAGUAACGCGUGGGCAACCAACCUUACACAGGGGGAUAACGCAGAGAAAUUUGCGCUAAUACCGCAUAAGCGCACAGUACCGCAUGGUACGGUGUGAAAAACUCCGGUGGUGUAAGACGGGCCCGCGUCUGAUUAGUUAGUUGGUGAGGUAAAAGCUCACCAAGGCGACGAUCAGUAGCCGACCUGAGAGGGUGAUCGGCCACAUUGGGACUGAGACACGGCCCAAACUCCUACGGGAGGCAGCAGUGGGGGAUAUUGCACAAUGGAGGGAACUCUGAUGCAGCAAUGCCGCGUGAAGGAAGACGGUUUUCGGAUUGUAAACUUCUAUCAGCAGGGAAGAAAAUGACG